RNAcentral lists this long non-coding RNA (1019 nucleotides) under Lupinus mutabilis. Its description in RNAcentral is "partial ncRNA". Lineage: Eukaryota; Viridiplantae; Streptophyta; Magnoliopsida; Fabales; Fabaceae. The record is from RNAcentral.
CAAAUAAGCUCACUUUACCACAGUGAAACUCAGUUAUAGGAACUAACAAAUAACACAACACUUUCACUUCUCUCUCUCUUUCUUCACUUAUCAUACACACUACCGCUACCAUUCUCUUCAAAGUCACAUCCUUUUUUAUUUUCAAGUGAACUUCUCAAGUGGGUUGUUGUGAUUAUUCGAUUACGCAAUUGAUCUGGUUCAAAGUUUCGUUUUUUAUGCUGUGAUUUAGCUGCUUAAUCAAUUUGAAAUGGUGGGUCAGUGUUAGAUUUCGAAAAUGAAGAGGAAGGUGAUUCUUCAUCACCAGAAAUCUCAGCAGCACAAAUGGAAGAGGAAGAUUUUGACUUUGAUCUUUGUGGUUGGAGUUUGUUUUGGAACAUUGUUGUUUGUUCAGACAAGGUACAAUGAUGUUUUUGGGUUGGUUUCAUUUCAGCACCAAAUGGUUUCUCAAUCUCAAGUUCAGAUCCCAAAGAUUGCUUUUCUCUUCAUUGCAAGAAAUAGGCUUCCUUUGGAAAUGGUUUGGGAUGCAUUCUUUAAGGGAGGUAAUAAUAACUUCUCAAUUUUCGUCCACUCGAGGCCCGGGUUUCUGUUCAACAAUGCAACAACUCGGUCAACAUAUUUUUUGAAUCGUCAAGUGAAUGAUAGCACACAGGUAGAUUGGGGAGAAGCAAGCAUGAUAGAGGCUGAGCGCAUUUUGCUUAGACAUGCGCUUAGUGAUCCUUUAAACGACCGUUUUGUUUUUCUCUCAGAUAGUUGAUUGAUUUCUUUUCAGCUGUAUACCUUUGUACAACUUCAGCUACACAUAUGACUACAUCAUGUCAACGCCGACUAGUUUCGUCGACAGGUGAGGAUAAUGCAUACUUGUUAUAUGCUUUAGCACAUUGAAAAAUGCAUCCCGUUAUUCCUGUUCGUAGCUGGAGGAAAGGAUCCCAGUGGGGUGUUCUGACCCGAAAGCAUGCCAUUGCUGUAGUGGAGGAUGAAACCGUCUUUCCAAUGCCAUUGCUGGAUAGAAUCUAGGUGUA